This 440-nucleotide ribosomal RNA is filed under the name uncultured bacterium. RNAcentral's name for it is "partial 16S ribosomal RNA". It matches the Rfam family "Bacterial small subunit ribosomal RNA", at positions 338 to 795 of the family's 1533-position model. The record is from RNAcentral.
CCUACGGGUGGCAGCAGUGGGGGAUAUUGCACAAUGGGGGGAACCCUGAUGCAGCGACGCCGCGUGGGUGAAGAAGCGCCUCGGCGCGUAAAGCCCUGUCAGCAGGGAAGAAAAUGACGGUACCUGAAGAAGAAGCCCCGGCUAAAUACGGGACAGCAGCCGCGGUAACACGGAGGGGGCCAGCGUUAUCCGGAUUUCCUGGGGUUAAAGGGGGCGUAGACGGCGGUGCAAGCCAGGAGUGAAAGCCCGGGGCCCAACCCCGGGACUGCUCUUGAAACUGCGUGGCUGGAGUGCAGGAGGGGCAGGCGGAAUUCCUGGUGUAGCGGUGAAAUGCGUAGAUAUCAGGAGGAACACCGGUGGCGAAGGCGGCCUGCUGGACUGCAACUGACGUUGAGGCCCGAAAGCGUGGGGAGCAAACAGGAUUAGAUACCCUUGUAGUC